GCAGGAUUCAAACCGGUACGCAGCAAAUUGUAAACAUAAACAUUAGCGCGGAGUAAACCAGUCACCAUGGAUAAUAAACCUCAUUUAAAACGACGGCCUAAUUUUUCGGAGGCUGAGAAAAUUAUGUUGGUUAAGGAGGUAAUGAAAAGGCGAAAAGUGUUACUAGGAAAGUCGGAAAGUAUUGUGCCAAUGAGAUUAAGAAUGGAAGCGUGGGAUAGCAUUGCAUCGGCUAUCAACGGUGUGAAUCCCGCUGUGAGACAAAGAGAAAGAAAUGAAUUGAAGAAGAAAUUCACAGACUUUAAGUCAUCAGUGAAGAAAGACCUUGAACGACGGAGGAAAGCUCUCUUAAGAGAGAGCUGCCCAUUGCUGGAAUUUCCUGCCUGAGUCAGUGGUGCAAAGUACUUCCAUCCAUCAGUUCAAGUCAAGGCCGGAGAAACACUGGAAACAAGACCCAGAGAAAUUUAGCAAACUAAUCAUCCCUCACGUACCAGGAUUCAUGAGAAUGAUGUCACAGAGGCACAUAAGCUACUAGCUUCAGAUGCCUGACUUCACAAGUACUCUACAGUACUGUACUAGUAGUAUAGCUGCUGGCACUUAACAUAAACUGGGGUGUUAAUGACCCUGAGAUAACACCACUCACCCCUAGUGAAGAAGCCAUGGCAGCUCUUAUAAGUUAUACUUCAAGACAAAAGACCAAGAGAAGAGGCUAUACGGAUGGCUGUGAAUCUGAGGCAUCAGAGAAAGGAAAAAGUAAAGUAUACUCUUAAUAGAACUGGUUUUUACUUGCGUACAAAAACAGUGUUAUUACAGUAACUUGGUAUUAGUACAGGCAUCCCCUGCAUCAGAGAAUCCGGGGUUACGGAAAUUCGCCAACAUGGAAUUUUGAAAUUAUGACCCGAAAAAUUGUUAUACUGCCGAAAA
Molecule: RNA transcript, 921 nt
Organism: Homarus americanus (American lobster)
Lineage: Eukaryota; Metazoa; Arthropoda; Malacostraca; Decapoda; Nephropidae
Gene name: myb/SANT-like DNA-binding domain-containing protein 4
Exons: 3
Source: RefSeq, a predicted model, not a curated record